RNA transcript from Cajanus cajan (pigeon pea), 1250 nucleotides. It is a transcript of the gene named tryptophan synthase alpha chain, with no coding region annotated. The record is from RefSeq and is a predicted model, not a curated record. Lineage: Eukaryota; Viridiplantae; Streptophyta; Magnoliopsida; Fabales; Fabaceae.
CUUAAAGAAAAUCAGAAUUUGUAUAAUCAUGUUGGGCAUCAGUGCGAAGAAAUAGAAAUAGAAAACCCUAAACUGAAUCCGCGCCUCCCUCUUACCCGCGCCUCCUGUAGUUCGACGUUUGAGUGGCAUCCGUGUGAAGAACAUUUGUUUCUUUCUUAGAUGAUCCUUCCGUAGAUAUAAUCAUGCUACACUGCUGCCUUUCAAAAGAUUCGGCAAAUAUUUGACUCUGUUUCAUUCCAGAAGCUAUAUACAAAAUGUCUUUUAAAUCAAUGACCUUCUCUGCCUGAUUAUAGUGGAUUGGUGGCUUUCAUCCCAUAUAUCACAGCUGGUGAUCCUGACCUUUCAACCACAGCAGAAGCGCUGAAAGUGCUUGAUUCAUGUGGGUCUGACAUAAUUGAGCUAGGUGUUCCAUACUCUGAUCCUUUGGUAGAUGGUCCUGUUAUCCGGGUUUGGUGCUUUCUUCUUUUUCUUGUGAUAUCUAGUACUGCCUGAUUCUCAAAUUGAUGCAUUUUUCUUCCCAGGCUGCUGCUACAAGGUCAUUAGCAAAGGGGACCAAUCUUAAUGCAAUUUUUUCUGUGUUGAAAGAGAUUGGUGAUGCAAGUAUAGGUAGGAAUGAUCAUUGUCCACGAUGGGAUCCUUAUCAAGAUAGGAGAUAGGAGAUAGUAAGGAGAGAAAGGAAAAAAUAAGCCACAAUCUGCCAAACUUGAAAAAGACCAAGAAACCAGAUUCUGAUCCGCUUCCUUCCACCACUCAAAAUAUUAAGAUUUUUAACUCUUUACGAAGGAACAGAUGUGACCACUCACAUGCAAGAAGAAACAAUAUGCUAUUGGAGAAGGGGUUGAGUGAGUCCUUUCACUUGAGUGUGGCGGAGGAAUAAAGAAAGAAUAGAGAGAGUAUCUCUUCUCCAACACUUAUUUCUCCUUUUAAACCGUUUCGCUUUCCUGAAAUUGAUGAGAGGGACAUGAUGGACCAUGGUAAAAUUCUCAUGUCAAUCAUUGGGAAUUUUUCUCUCUUAAUUUGUUUCCCUCUUUUGGUCACUUGCUUUCAUUAUUCUCUGUGCACCAUGCCUUGCCACAGUAACCAUGUUUGUUGCAUUUCUGGUACACUGCUGGUUCCAUUGGUUCCUAGAGGUAAUUUUUUGUUGGUGUGCAUAUGAGAGGGAAAUUAUCUAUAUGGUUUUGGUUUUGGUAUACAUUCUCCAAUGUUGCAUUGCUACUUUUAGGAUGAUAUAAAUUAAUCUUUGUUUUCCA